AUUGAACGCUGGCGGCAUGCCUAACACAUGCAAGUCGAACGGCAGCACGGCAGUAGCAAUACUGUGGGUGGCGAGUGGCGGACGGGUGAGGAAUACGUCGGAAUCUGCCCAGUCGUGGGGGAUAACUAGCCGAAAGGUUAGCUAAUACCGCAUACGACCGAGAGGUGAAAGCGGGGGACCGCAAGGCCUCGCGCGAUUGGAUGAGCCGACGUCGGAUUAGCUAGUUGGUGGGGUAAAGGCCCACCAAGGCGACGAUCCGUAGCUGGUCUGAGAGGAUGAUCAGCCACACUGGAACUGAGACACGGUCCAGACUCCUACGGGAGGCAGCAGUGGGGAAUAUUGGACAAUGGGCGCAAG
Molecule: ribosomal RNA, 357 nt
Filed under: uncultured bacterium
Lineage: Bacteria
Description: bacterial SSU rRNA
Rfam family: Bacterial small subunit ribosomal RNA
Source: RNAcentral